GAAAUCAUAUGUAUGACAAGCAGUGAUGAUAGCUUUUAAAAUUUAUUUAAGUAGAUGACUAUCAUACACAAUUGUCUUUUUCAUUUCUUCAAGAAUUCUAUUAACCCUAUUUUACUUAAGGUGUCCUUGGUGCUGAAAUAAUUAAUUUCUGUAUAAACUUUAUCAGGAUUUUGGUUUUCAACACUGUGUCAUGAUACCUUUACAGUUUGGAAACCUUUAUCAUUUGAAAC
This 230-nucleotide long non-coding RNA is filed under the name Phoenix dactylifera (date palm). Its description in RNAcentral is "long non-coding RNA (PDAC_LNC003877)". The record is from RNAcentral. Lineage: Eukaryota; Viridiplantae; Streptophyta; Magnoliopsida; Arecales; Arecaceae.